GGGCUUGUGGUUUAGUGGUAUAAUACUCCCUUAGCAUGAUGAUGAUGAUGGCGACGAUCCACCUCACGAUGGUUGGUUGAAGUUGUCUGUCUGUCUAACUUGGGAGUGGUCCGGGGUUCGAUUCCCCGCGAGUCCA
Non-coding RNA from Hypoxylon sp. CO27-5, 136 nucleotides. The record is from the annotation of a GenBank genome assembly. Lineage: Eukaryota; Fungi; Ascomycota; Sordariomycetes; Xylariales; Hypoxylaceae.